GACGAACGCUGGCGGCGUGCUUAACACAUGCAAGUCGAACGGCAAGGCCCUGCUUUUGUGGGGUUCUCGAGUGGCGAACGGGUGAGUAACACGUGAGUAACCUGCUCUUCACUUUGGGAUAACUUAAGGAAAGUGGGGCUAAUAUCAGAUCGGAUACCACGCUGCGUGGUGAGGGUUGGAAAGUUUCGGCGUUUGGGGAUGGACUCGCGGCUUAUCAGCUUGCUGGUGGGGUAGUGGCUUACCAAGGCUUUGGCGGGUAGCCGGCCUGAGAGGGUGACCGGCCACAUUGGGACUGAGAUACGGCCCAGACUCCUACGGGAGGCAGCAGUGGGGAAUAUUGCACAAUGGGCGGAAGCCUGAUGCAGCAACGCCGCGUGCGGGAUGACGGCCUUCGGGUUGUAAACCGCUUUCGCCUGUGACGAAGCGUGAGUGACGGUAAUGGGUAAAGAAGCACCGGCUAACUACGUG
Molecule: ribosomal RNA, 468 nt
Filed under: uncultured bacterium
Lineage: Bacteria
Description: partial 16S ribosomal RNA
Rfam family: Bacterial small subunit ribosomal RNA
Source: RNAcentral